UUCCAGCCAAUUAAGCCAACUGUGCUCUUUUCCCCGUGGGGGCCCGGUGUGCAAUGGCUGCAAACAGCAGCCUCCUCGGUGGUACGUGCAGCCUGUUGCCUGUACGGUUGCCCUCAGGGACGCUGGAUUCGGCC
Molecule: small nucleolar RNA, 134 nt
Organism: Physeter macrocephalus (sperm whale)
Lineage: Eukaryota; Metazoa; Chordata; Mammalia; Artiodactyla; Physeteridae
Gene: SNORA70
Rfam family: Small nucleolar RNA SNORA70
About the family: snoRNA U70 seems to be exclusive to mammals and is a member of the H/ACA class of snoRNA which contain H (ANANNA) and ACA box motifs.
Source: Ensembl